CCUACGGGUGGCAGCAGUGAGGAAUAUUGGUCAAUGGACGAGAGUCUGAACCAGCCAAGUAGCGUGAAGGAUGACUGCCCUAUGGGUUGUAAACUUCUUUUAUAUGGGAAUAAAACGUUCCACGUGUGGGAUUUUGUAUGUACCAUAUGAAUAAGGAUCGGCUAACUCCGUGCCAGCAGCCGCGGUAAUACGGAGGAUCCGAGCGUUAUCCGGAUUUAUUGGGUUUAAAGGGAGCGUAGGUGGAUGGUUAAGUCAGUUGUGAAAGUUUGCGGCUCAACCGUAAAAUUGCAGUUGAAACUGGCAGUCUUGAGUACAGUAGAGGUGGGCGGAAUGCGUGGUGUAGCGGUGAAAUGCUUAGAUAUCACGAAGAACUCCGAUUGCGAAGGCAGUUCACUGGACUGCAACUGACACUGAGGCUCGAAAGUGUGGGUAUCAAACAGGAUUAGAUACCCCGGUAGUC
Molecule: ribosomal RNA, 460 nt
Filed under: uncultured bacterium
Lineage: Bacteria
Description: partial 16S ribosomal RNA
Rfam family: Bacterial small subunit ribosomal RNA
Source: RNAcentral